This 947-nucleotide long non-coding RNA is filed under the name Marmota monax (woodchuck). Lineage: Eukaryota; Metazoa; Chordata; Mammalia; Rodentia; Sciuridae. The record is from RNAcentral.
CUGAGCGGCUGCCACAGGGACUGCAGAGCCUGUAAAGGCUAAAAUAUUUAAUGUCUGGUGUUUUUUUUGUUUUUACAGAAAAAGUCAACGGACCCCUGGUUCAGUGCUCUGGUCUUCCCUACAAGUGAUCUGAGGAAGUCCAGUUCGGUGAGACUGCUUCUCUGAACAAGAGUCCAACACACAUAAUGUCCCACCCUCAAAACUAUUUGCAAUGUGUAAAUAAGGUAUACAAAAGGCUCUGAGAAUUCCUGCAUAAAAGAAUCUGUUGUUCUUUAACUUAAUAUUUCCCAAACUUCUUUGAACUGCUAAAUCUUUUCCUUAGCACCUCUUAACAUCCCGAGAAGCUGGUGUUCUGUGGCUGCCCCCAGAAAAUGCUGUUUAGAUAUAAAGAACAGCCUGACUUCUUGACCCAUCCCUGCCACCAAUGAGUCAGGUGGCCUUGGCUGAAUGAUGCACCUGUCAGGGCCUGCUUUCUCACUGAUUGAAGGGAAUGAUGGUGUCUGUCCUGUCUCUCUUAUAGGUUCUUCAGGUAGGUCCCCAAGAUAGCAGGCAUGAAAGGUAUAGAGGGAUGACUGUGGUCUUUGGGUAACUAGUUUUCUUUCUUCUAUCACUUAGCAAUGGGGAAAAGGCACUAGGCCAAGGGCACGAGUUCUCUACUAGUCCUCACUUUGCUAUCUAUCACAAGAUGGGUUCACUGAGUGACUUGAAACAGGUGACUCCGUGACCAGGCCUCAGUUUCCUCACUUCUAAGCUGAGGGGUUUAGACUAAAUCUUUAAGGAUUUAUUAGCUUGGAAAUUCUAUGGUUCUAUUCGGUUAAAUGCCUGAACUUGCUACUUCUCUCUCACAAACCAUGAAAACUGCAUCUCUUUGGUUUCCUUGGUCCUGGACCAGGUAUGAGGAGGUACUGCUGAGGGAUUUCUGAUGCUGCUGACAGUUUAGGAGGCAG